This 275-nucleotide ribosomal RNA is filed under the name uncultured prokaryote. Its description in RNAcentral is "partial 16S ribosomal RNA". It matches the Rfam family "Bacterial small subunit ribosomal RNA", at positions 524 to 800 of the family's 1533-position model. The record is from RNAcentral.
UACGUAGGGGCUAGCGUUAUCCGGAUUUACUGGGCGUAAAGGGUGCGUAGGCGGUCUUUCAAGUCAGGAGUGAAAGGCUACGGCUCAACCGUAGUAAGCACUUGAAACUGUAUGACUUGAGUGCAGGAGAGGUAAGCGGAAUUCCUAGUGUAGCGGUGAAAUGCGUAGAUAUUAGAAGGAACACCGGUGGCGAAGGCGGCUUACUGGACUGUAACUGACGCUGAGUCACGAAAGCGUGGGUAGCAAACAGGAUUAGAUACCCUGGUAGUCCCUGA